CAGUUUCGAUCUGUUGGGGACAAAUAAAAUGAAUGUGGCUAUCAAUUCCCCCUGCGGUAAGAAUAUGCCCUUCCCCUGCUAAAAUCUCCGUUGCAGGACCAAUAAUAAUAUCUACAUUGUCUUGAAUAUAAGGAUUUCCAGCUUUACCGAUUUUAAAAAUCUUACCGUCUUUAAUACCAACAUCCCCUUUAACAAUGCCCCACCAAUCUAAAAUCAGGGCAUUAGUAAUUACUAGAUCUACCGCCCCUUCUUCUCUAGAAAUCGGAGAUUGUCCCAUGCCAUCACGAAUUA
RNAcentral lists this small RNA (291 nucleotides) under Stanieria cyanosphaera PCC 7437. RNAcentral's name for it is "5' ureB small RNA". It matches the Rfam family "5' ureB small RNA". Lineage: Bacteria; Bacillati; Cyanobacteriota; Cyanophyceae; Pleurocapsales; Dermocarpellaceae. The record is from Rfam by way of RNAcentral.